Orcinus orca (killer whale) is the source of this 228-nucleotide long non-coding RNA. RefSeq lists it as uncharacterized. The transcript is spliced from 3 exons. NCBI's taxonomy places the organism in Eukaryota, Metazoa, Chordata, Mammalia, Artiodactyla, Delphinidae. The record is from RefSeq and is a predicted model, not a curated record.
CUGAAUCCACUCAUUAUGCUGCUACGGGCCUGAUGACAUAGAUUUCAUUGCUGAGUGAUAUUGCUUUUUAGAAUCAUCAUACCUGAAUCCACUCAUUGUGCUGCUACGGGCCUGAUGACAUAGAUUUCAUUGCUGAGUGAUAUUGCAUUUUAGAAUCAUCAUACCUGAAUCCACUCAUUGUGCUGCUACGGGCCUGAUGACAUAGAUUUCAUUGCUGAGUGAUAUUGC